UACGUAGGGAGCGUGCGUUGUCCGGAAUUACUGGGCGUAAAGAGCUUGUAGGCGGUUUGUCCCGUCGUCUGUGAAAACACACAGCUCAACUGUGAGCUUGCAGGCGAUACGGGCAGACUUGAGUACUGCAGGGGAGACUGGAAUUCCUGGUGUAGCGGUGAAAUGCGCAGAUAUCAGGAGGAACACCGGUGGCGAAGGCGGGUCUCUGGGCAGUAACUGACGCUGAGAAGGGAAAGCGUGGGUAGCGAACAGG
RNAcentral lists this ribosomal RNA (253 nucleotides) under uncultured bacterium. Its description in RNAcentral is "partial 16S ribosomal RNA". It matches the Rfam family "Bacterial small subunit ribosomal RNA", at positions 524 to 776 of the family's 1533-position model. The record is from RNAcentral.